This 399-nucleotide transfer-messenger RNA is filed under the name Muribaculaceae. RNAcentral describes it as "CAG-873 sp017621845 Standard tmRNA". It matches the Rfam family "transfer-messenger RNA". From Rfam's summary of the family: Bacterial tmRNA, also known as 10Sa RNA or SsrA, is named for its dual tRNA and mRNA-like properties. Its role is to liberate the mRNA from a stalled ribosome. To accomplish this part of the tmRNA is used as a reading frame that ends in a translation stop signal. Lineage: Bacteria; Pseudomonadati; Bacteroidota; Bacteroidia; Bacteroidales. RNAcentral also lists the same sequence under 1 other name. The record is from RNAcentral.
GGGGCUGACCGGUUUAGACAGCGUGUAGAGGUGGUGUGUAAGCGUGCAGAGCAAUGAUGGCUAACCUCUAUAAUCCUUGACAUCAGUAAUUUUAAAUGGCGAAAACAACUACGCUCUCGCUGCCUGAUCGAAGUAUAGUAGAUCCGCUUUAUCUCUCUAACAGUUAGAGAGACGAGACAUCGCCCGAUUGUCGUUGUUCCGAGACUAAUCGACCCGGCGGUGCAGUUAAAUCGGAAAUAGCUCCCGGUGAGUCUCGAGCCGAGGGUGAAAAUUAAGAGACUAAGGGCAUGGUUGGUCGUCCCGGCCUGUCAUGUCACAAAAAUCAAGCGGAGACUAAGCACGUAGAAAGCACAUUAGUUCCACGUUUGGACGAGGGUUCGAAUCCCUCCAGCUCCACUU